RNAcentral lists this ribosomal RNA (381 nucleotides) under uncultured cyanobacterium. RNAcentral's name for it is "bacterial SSU rRNA". It matches the Rfam family "Bacterial small subunit ribosomal RNA", at positions 376 to 770 of the family's 1533-position model. The record is from RNAcentral. Lineage: Bacteria; Bacillati; Cyanobacteriota.
CGAAAGCCUGACGGAGCAAUACCGCGUGAGGGAUGACGGCCUAUGGGUUGUAAACCUCUUUUUUCAGGGAGGAAUCAAAUGACGUGUACCUGAAGAAUAAGCAUCGGCUAACUCCGUGCCAGCAGCCGCGGUAAGACGGAGGAUGCAAGUGUUAUCCGGAAUCACUGGGCGUAAAGCGUCUGUAGGUGGUCCAAUAAGUCAACUGUUAAAUCUUGAGGCUCAACCUCAAAACCGCAGUCGAAACUGUUAGACUAGAGUAUAGUAGGGGUAAAGGGAAUUUCCAGUGGAGCGGUGAAAUGCGUAGAGAUUGGAAAGAACACCGAUGGCGAAGGCACUUUACUGGGCUAUUACUGACACUCAGAGACGAAAGCUAGGGUAGCA